This 227-nucleotide long non-coding RNA is filed under the name Medicago truncatula (barrel medic). RNAcentral's name for it is "long non-coding RNA (MTRU_LNC001144)". Lineage: Eukaryota; Viridiplantae; Streptophyta; Magnoliopsida; Fabales; Fabaceae. The record is from RNAcentral.
UCAAGAUCGGAAAUAGGGUUUUUCAUCAACGGACCUACAAAAGAUUGAAAGGGAUUGAAAGAAUGAUUUAUACUUUAAAACAGCGAGGAAUAAGAGCAAAAAUCUAUAUAUUUAGUUUAAACCAGAGUGGAAUGAAGAUAUGGUUACCAGUGAGGCAGUGGUAUGACAGCAAAGUCUGAAUGUUUCUGGAAGCCAUGUUGAUUAAGAAAUUUCGGUUUAAGAGAAAG